GGAAUCUUAGCUCAGUUGGUUAGAGCAACCGGCUCAUAACCGGUCGGUCCUGGGUUCGAGUCCCAGAGUUUUCA
RNAcentral lists this transfer RNA (74 nucleotides) under Caudoviricetes sp. RNAcentral describes it as "tRNA-Met". It matches the Rfam family "tRNA". From Rfam's summary of the family: Transfer RNA (tRNA) molecules are approximately 80 nucleotides in length. Lineage: Duplodnaviria; Heunggongvirae; Uroviricota; Caudoviricetes. The record is from RNAcentral.